RNAcentral lists this ribosomal RNA (429 nucleotides) under Bacteroidota bacterium. Its description in RNAcentral is "Bacteroidetes bacterium partial 16S ribosomal RNA". It matches the Rfam family "Bacterial small subunit ribosomal RNA", at positions 355 to 776 of the family's 1533-position model. Lineage: Bacteria; Pseudomonadati; Bacteroidota. The record is from RNAcentral.
UCGGGAAUCUUCCGCAAUGGACGCAAGUCUGACGGAGCAACGCCGCGUGAGUGAAGAAGGAUUUCGGUUCGUAAAACUCUGUUGUUAGCGAAGAACAGCGCAUAGAGUAACUGUUAUGCGUGUGACGGUAUCUAACCAGAAAGCCACGGCUAACUACGUGCCAGCAGCCGCGGUAAUACGUAGGUGGCAAGCGUUGUCCGGAUUUAUUGGGCGUAAAGCGAGCGCAGGCGGUCAAUUAAGUCUGAUGUGAAAGCCCCCGGCUCAACCGGGGAGGGUCAUUGGAAACUGGUUGACUUGAGUGCAGAAGAGGAGAGUGGAAUUCCAUGUGUAGCGGUAAAAUGCGUAGAUAGAUGGAGGAACACCAGUGGCGAAGGCGACUCUCUGGUCUGUAACUGACGCUGAGGCUCGAAAGCGUGGGUAGCAAACAGG